This 1776-nucleotide long non-coding RNA is filed under the name Homo sapiens (human). RNAcentral describes it as "HSALNT0166161". Lineage: Eukaryota; Metazoa; Chordata; Mammalia; Primates; Hominidae. The record is from RNAcentral.
UGGAGAUCUGCCUGGGCAUGAAGUGGAGAGGCCCUGCUUUACCACAAUCUCUGCACAGGAAGGGUGGGGAAGCUCAGGCUGCUAUUCUGGGUUAAUGACUUUCUUUCUUCAGCAUUGUGGAUGAAUUAGGUUUUGUCAUGGGGAAAAACAUGAUCUGCAAAUUCAUCAUUUUUUGAGACUGUGAAUAUCAGCAAAACUAUCAACUUUCAGGAAAAUGGAAACUGUCCACUUUCAGGUGAAGUUGAGCAUGGAUGAUAUGAUGUUUGUGAGCCUGAUCAUGUUGUACCCCUAUUAUAUGCUAUGCCACUGCAGCGAUCAAGCUUGUCUAAAACCACCCCUGCCUUCAUACCACUCAAGGAGAAGACAAAUAUAGUUGGUUAUUGGAAGAACCAACAGGAUUUUACAGGAUAAGUAGACAUUUCAUAGAGCUCUUGAAACCUGAAAAUGAUUGACAUUGCUGUGUGAAAGGAAAAUAUCUUGGGCCCCCAAAAUCACUAAGUUAAAGGGAAAAUUCAAGCUGGAAACUGCUUAGGGUAAACCUGCCUCCCAUUCUAUUAAAAGUCAUCCUUCUGCUCACUGAGAUAAAUGCAUGUCUAAUUGCCUCCUUUGAAAGGCUAAUCAGAAACUCAGAAGAAUGCAACCAUUUGUCUCUCACCAACCUGUGACCUGGACCCUCCCCGCUUUGAGUUGUCCCACUUUUGUUUUGAGUUGUCCCGCCUUUCCAGACUGAACCAUUGUUAUAUAUGUUGAUUGAUGUCUCCUGUCUCCCUAAAAUGUAUAAAACCAAGCUGUGCUCUGACUACUUUGAGCACAUGUUGUCAGGACCUCCUGAGGCUGUGUCACAGGCAUGCAUCCUCAACUUUGGCAAAAUAAACUUUCUAAAUUAACUGAGACCUGUCUCAAAUUUUGGGGGUUCACAUUUGGUAACCAUGGAGGGAUUCUGAGUGGAGAUGCCCCUGACUUCUGACAAAUCUCCUAUCGGUUCUUCGUACCAGCAUGAGCUAACUUUAUAGCUCAAACCAAUAGGACAAUUUGCUGAGGUCAGGGAGCAACCCUUCCAGAGAAUCCCUGAUCUCCAAAAAUUUGGUCAAGAUCUAAAGUUUAUUUUGCUGUAUACUCCUUUUGUUUUUCUUGCUUCCAACAAGGAAGGCAAGAUUUCCUGUUUCCAAGACAAUGGAAAGCAGGUAACUCCUUUAUGGAGUUUGAGCUCGCUCCCAGCUGGGAAGACGAGUUGGAGUAUUUUUCCUGCUUCUACAAUGGUAGAAAGCAGUCUUCAGCCUAAGAUCCAUCUCUGGGUAAGUAGCUGAAUUGUGGUUUUGUCUUGGCUAAAGUUCAACAACCAGCUUAUCAUUGGAGCACUCAGUGAUCAUAUUGUUGGGCUUUGUUGUUGUUGUUUGUUCCAGUCUUUCUCCCAUCAGAUUUCAUCAACUCUAUCUGACUUGGACAAAUCCAAGUGAGAAUUGCAAAUGAUGGGUAACAAGCCCUCUCUAAUUUGGCUAAAAUUCCUCAUAGCUGCAAAAUUAAACAAAGAGAGAAAACAAGAAAACCAUGUGUUUGGUUUCUGUGUUCGCUUCCUUUCUUUAAAAAAAAAAAAAUUGUUCUUUUGUUUACUUUUCUUCCACCCUAUACCUCCUUCCCCCUUUGCCAUCUGAAGUAUCAAAAAUUCUAGAGAAAGCUUCUAAUGACUUUCAUACACGUCCGUGUGAAGAGGUCACUAAACAGGCUUUGUGUGAGCAACAUGGCUGUUUAUUUCACCUGGGUGCAGGCAGGCUGAGU